GCCUAGUGAGCUUAGUUAGUAAAGCGUCUGCCUUGUAAGCGCUAGGCCGCGGGUUCGAUUCCCACCCGGGGCA
This 73-nucleotide transfer RNA is filed under the name Diaphorina citri (Asian citrus psyllid). It matches the Rfam family "tRNA". From Rfam's summary of the family: Transfer RNA (tRNA) molecules are approximately 80 nucleotides in length. Lineage: Eukaryota; Metazoa; Arthropoda; Insecta; Hemiptera; Psyllidae. The record is from Rfam by way of RNAcentral.